Molecule: long non-coding RNA, 377 nt
Filed under: Crocodylus porosus (Australian saltwater crocodile)
Lineage: Eukaryota; Metazoa; Chordata; Crocodylia; Crocodylidae
Description: lncRNA (ENSCPRG00005018882.1)
Source: RNAcentral
GUUUGAAAUGUCUUAAGAAAUUGAAUUUUGGGCGGAAAAAAGAAAAGAAGGUCUUAGAAAAUGUUUGCUUCAGAAAUACGAAAUGUUAACGUUGGAUGUUAUUCUAAGUGUGUGGCACUCCAGUUUACGUGAGAAACUCUACCAUGGGAUGCACGCACAGGUCCAUCUCGCAUUCAGGGUCCCGGUCAAGCAUUUCUGCGUGGCCUGUGGCUCUGGAGCUUACUUUAUAAUGGAGGAGUGAAGUCAUCUGUUAAGUGGGUGCCUUUGCUUGAAGGCAAACAGCUGAUUGAGGCUAAUUAGAGAGAGGUGCAGGUUAGGACAAGAAGGCGCAGACAGAAGUACAGCUCCUGGAUCUAACUCAUGGCACUUCACAGAAA